This 547-nucleotide ribosomal RNA is filed under the name Capitonius sp. QL-2013. RNAcentral's name for it is "partial 12S ribosomal RNA". The record is from RNAcentral. Lineage: Eukaryota; Metazoa; Arthropoda; Insecta; Hymenoptera; Braconidae.
GAUCAAUAAAUUUAAGUAGAUUUUAUUAUAUUUUAAUAAAAAAAUUUAAUUUAUGAUUAAAUAUUAAUUAAAUAAAUUUAUUAAAAAAAAUUUUUUUUAAAUAAAUAUAAAACUAGGAUUAGAUACCCUAUUAUAUCAAAUUAAAAUAAAAAAUUUAAUUAAUAAAUGAUAAAACAUUAAAUUUAAAAAAUAUGGCAGUAUUUUAUUUUAUUAGAGGAAUUUAUUUUAUAAUAGAUAAUACACUAAAAAAAUUACUUAAUUUUUAUAUUUAUAUACUUCUGUAAAGAUUAAAAUUUAAAUUUUAAAUCUAAGUAAAUUUUUUUUUUAUUAUUUCAAGUCAAAGUAUAAUUUAUAAUUAAAAAUAAAUGAAUUACUUUAAAUUUAAUUAAAUAAUUUUUUAAAUUAAUUUAUAAAAUUAAUAGAAUUUAACUUUAAAUAUAAAAAAUUAUUUAUAUUGAAUUAAAUUUAAAAUAUACACAAAUUGCCCGUCAUUCUUAAAUUUUAAGACAAGUCGUAACAAGGUAAAAAUACUGGAAAGUAUUUUUAG